GGCCGCGGGAAUUCGAUUCAGGCCUAACACAUGCAAGUCGAGCGGAGAUGAGGUGCUUGCACCUUAUCUUAGCGGCGGACGGGUGAGUAAUGCUUAGGAAUCUGCCUAUUAGUGGGGGACAACAUUCCGAAAGGAAUGCUAAUACCGCAUACGUCCUACGGGAGAAAACAGGGGAUCUUCGGACCUUGCGCUAAUAGAUGAGCCUAAGUCGGAUUAGCUAGUUGGUGGGGUAAAGGCCUACCAAGGCGACGAUCUGUAGCGGGUCUGAGAGGAUGAUCCGCCACACUGGGACUGAGACACGGCCCAGACUCCUACGGGAGGCAGCAGUGGGGAAUAUUGGACAAUGGGGGGAACCCUGAU
This 360-nucleotide ribosomal RNA is filed under the name uncultured bacterium. RNAcentral's name for it is "bacterial SSU rRNA". It matches the Rfam family "Bacterial small subunit ribosomal RNA", at positions 43 to 387 of the family's 1533-position model. The record is from RNAcentral.